RNAcentral lists this ribosomal RNA (592 nucleotides) under Wolbachia sp. RNAcentral describes it as "bacterial SSU rRNA". It matches the Rfam family "Bacterial small subunit ribosomal RNA", at positions 220 to 829 of the family's 1533-position model. Lineage: Bacteria; Pseudomonadati; Pseudomonadota; Alphaproteobacteria; Rickettsiales; Anaplasmataceae. The record is from RNAcentral.
AUUAGAUGAGCCUAUAUUAGAUUAGCUAGUUGGUGGAGUAAUAGCCUACCAAGGCAAUGAUCUAUAGCUGAUCUGAGAGGAUGAUCAGCCACACUGGAACUGAGAUACGGUCCAGACUCCUACGGGAGGCAGCAGUGGGGAAUAUUGGACAAUGGGCGAAAGCCUGAUCCAGCUAUGCCGCAUGAGUGAAGAAGGCCUUUGGGUUGUAAAGCUCUUUUAGUGAGGAAGAUAAUGACGGUACUCACAGAAGAAGUCCUGGCUAACUCCGUGCCAGCAGCCGCGGUAAUACGGAGAGGGCUAGCGUUAUUCGGAAUUAUUGGGCGUAAAGGGCGCGUAGGCUGAUUAAUAAGUUAAAAGUGAAAUCCCGAGGCUUAACCUUGGAAUUGCUUUUAGAACUAUUAAUCUAGAGAUUGAAAGAGGAUAGAGGAAUUCCUAAUGUAGAGGUAAAAUUCGUAAAUAUUAGGAGGAACACCAGUGGCGAAGGCGUCUAUCUGGUUCAAAUCUGACGCUGAGGCGCGAAGGCGUGGGGAGCAAACAGGAUUAGAUACCCUGGUAGUCCACGCUAUAAACGAUGAAUGUUAAAUAUGGGAAG